RNAcentral lists this ribosomal RNA (348 nucleotides) under Triticum aestivum (bread wheat). RNAcentral describes it as "partial small subunit ribosomal RNA". Lineage: Eukaryota; Viridiplantae; Streptophyta; Magnoliopsida; Poales; Poaceae. The record is from RNAcentral.
AUGUUCACGGGAAGAAGCCCAACAGAAGGCACGUUCGGAGAUUCAUUGGGUCUGCAUAAGUUUAUCGAGGAUGCUCUUCCAGAUAGAACCUUGGAGAUAGCUGACCCUACAAUGUGGUUGCACAGCGGACAACACAAUAACACUACAAGUAUUAGAAUUCAGGAGUUAUUGGUUUCAGUCUUGAGCCUUGGCAUAUCCUGCUCAAAGCAACAUCCUCGUGACCGAGCACUGACAAGUGAUGCAACAGCGGAGAUGCAUGCAAUCAGAGAUGCAUACCUCAAGUUCAUAGGGGAGCAUGGAGCAGAACCAGAAGCCUCGACUCAAGAAAUUCAGAGCAGCAUUGCAUAA